UAUCAUUGCUUCAUUAUCAUCUAUGUAAUGCUUGAUGUGUUGUCUUUGUGAUAACUUCAUCUUCGAUUGAAAAAACAAAUUUUUCCUUAUGUAUGCUUUGGUGUGCUCGAUCGACUAAGGAUUGUUAGUUCAAGUAAGGCCCAUAGGUUAGGCAUCUAUAAUCUACGUUAAGGGCUGGUCACAGGGCACAUCAGUCAAUGGCCAUCUUGCAUUGAGAUCGAUGAUCGAUCACACCGACUGG
Molecule: long non-coding RNA, 241 nt
Filed under: Elaeis guineensis (African oil palm)
Lineage: Eukaryota; Viridiplantae; Streptophyta; Magnoliopsida; Arecales; Arecaceae
Description: long non-coding RNA (EGUI_LNC027211)
Source: RNAcentral